Molecule: long non-coding RNA, 761 nt
Organism: Cucumis sativus (cucumber)
Lineage: Eukaryota; Viridiplantae; Streptophyta; Magnoliopsida; Cucurbitales; Cucurbitaceae
Exons: 8
Source: RefSeq, a predicted model, not a curated record
UAGAAAAUAUUUCCCCAAAUCGUAAACCCUUAUUAUUUUCCUCAAUUCUCCUGCGAAGUCUCCAUCUCCAAUCUGAUCUUCUAUCUCCAAUUCGACCAUAUUUGGGCCUCAUCACCUCUUCUGCCAUUUGUGCUUGUCAUCACCUCCUCUGCCGGUACACGAAGAGGGAUUAUGAGAAAAUGGAGGAAGGAUUCAAUAUUUAACAAAAACGUCUGCAUUCUAGCAAGGAUUUUCGUUAGGUUUUAUCUCGUUGUAUUGUGGAUGGAGGAAGAACACAAGCUUUCCUUGUUGGGAUUACAACAAGAUUUCUUGUGUGAUAGGAUUUUGGAAUAAUGCAGAAAAGUUGAAGACUUAUGAUGGAAUGAUUAUUGGAGAACAUUCUAGGGAAUUAGAUCUAGAUGUUAAUCUUGUAAGAACUAAAGAAAACUUACCAAUAUCCGUUCUGCUUGCAAAGAUGAAAAUGUGAAGCUAUCUCCACCUCGACUUAGAUGAGUCUUGAAGAAACAAUAGGAUAUGUUGCAUCUGAUGAACUUAUUAAGGAUGCAGAAGCAUAUGCUUACCUUUUAAAAUGAAGGAUUGCAACAAUUUUAGAGGAAGGAGGAGGCCUGAGGAAAUUUACCAAAUACUUGAGUGAUAAUUCUGGUGCUAAAGGAUAUUGCAUGUAUGCCUCUUUAAAGACCUUGUAAAUUCCAUAUUUGUAAAUUGUUUAAACUUGAUUGAAAAUGUACGAAUAUUACAAAGUGUAUUAUAGCAUAUAUAUG